Molecule: ribosomal RNA, 524 nt
Filed under: uncultured bacterium
Lineage: Bacteria
Description: partial 16S ribosomal RNA
Rfam family: Bacterial small subunit ribosomal RNA
Source: RNAcentral
GACGAACGCUGGCGGCGUGCCUAAUACAUGCAAGUCGAACGCUUCUUUUCCCACCGGAGCUUGCUCCACCGGGAAAAGAGGAGUGGCGAACGGGUGAGUAACACGUGGGUAACCUGCCCAUCAGAAGGGGAUAACACUUGGAAACAGGUGCUAAUACCGUAUAACAAUCGAAACCGCAUGGUUUCGUUUUGAAAGGCGCUUUACGGUGCCGCUGAUGGAUGGACCCGCGGUGCAUUAGCUAGUUGGUGAGGUAACGGCUCACCAAGACCACGAUGCAUAGCCGGCCUGAGAGGGUGAUCGGCCACAUUGGGACUGAGACACGGCCCAAACUCCUACGGGAGGCAGCAGUAGGGAAUCUUCGGCAAUGGACGAAAGUCUGACCGAGCAACGCCGCGUGAGUGAAGAAGGUUUUCGGAUCGUAAAACUCUGUUGUUAGAGAAGAACAAGGGUGAGAGUAACUGUUCACCCCUUGACGGUAUCUAACCAGAAAGCCACGGCUAACUACGUGCCAGCCGCCGCAGUAA